This 301-nucleotide ribosomal RNA is filed under the name uncultured bacterium. RNAcentral describes it as "partial 16S ribosomal RNA". It matches the Rfam family "Bacterial small subunit ribosomal RNA", at positions 509 to 807 of the family's 1533-position model. The record is from RNAcentral.
CAGCCGCCGCGGUAAUACGUAGGGUGCAAGCGUUAAUCGGAAUUACUGGGCGUAAAGCGUGCGCAGGCGGUUUUGUAAGACAGAGGUGAAAUCCCCGGGCUCAACCUGGGAACUGCCUUUGUGACUGCAAGGCUAGAGUACGGCAGAGGGGGAUGGAAUUCCGCGUGUAGCAGUGAAAUGCGUAGAUAUGCGGAGGAACACCGAUGGCGAAGGCAAUCCCCUGGGCCUGUACUGACGCUCAUGCACGAAAGCGUGGGGAGCAAACAGGAUUAGAUACCCCUGUAGUCCCUGUCUCUUAUAC